CACUCGCUGCUCCGAGACAUUCGAGACCAAGACUGCGCUGCUCAGUUUGUUUGGGAUCCCUCUGUGGUAUUACUCUCAGUCGCCCAGAGCAGUCAUUCAGCCGGACGUUCACCCCGGAAACUGUUGGGCCUUUAAAGGUUCCCAAGGCUUUGUCGUUAUCCACCUCUCAGCUCCGAUCAGACCCACGGCCUUCACCCUGGAACACAUUCCCAAGUCGGUCGCCCUCCUUGGGUCGAUCAGCAGCGCUCCGCGGGACUUUGCCGUUUACGGUCUGGCCGACGAGAGCAAGGAGGAGGGACAUCUAAUUGGACGAUACACAUACGACCAGGAUUCCGAUCCGAUACAGAUCUUUCCAGUCCAGAACGAGGAACACGGAGCUUAUCGAGUCAUCGAGCUGCGCGUGAGCAACAACUGGGGUCACCCCGAAUAUACCUGUCUCUAUCGUUUCCGUGUCCACGGGGAUCCAGCGAAGUAACCUUCCGGCCGAUGUAUCUUUGUGCCGCGCGGGGGAAUAGUUAACGCCAGCUUUUCCGGGGCCUAAGUCGGGCUUCGUUUAUUUUUGUGUGCGUGCUGCAUCUGAAGCUACUCUUGCGAUCCAUACGAUUGCCAGGCCCUCUUUGCUCUGCUCCGAUUUGCUGCCCCGGUAAGAAAGAAAGCGAGAGAGAGAGUCAGCACUUUACUGGAAAGAAUGAAGAUAUUUCCGAACUAGAAUUUUUUAGGCCCCAAUUUUCCGGAUUAUUGGGUUUCCCGGUUAUUAUCUGAGAAUUGAAUAAACUGCGUUACUGUACGGGUCAGUGGACCAGUCAAUCAAAUCUACUGGAUGUUCUGUCACAGGACAAGAAUAUUUGGGAGUGGGGAGAAAUUUCCCCAACUUGUAUUUCUGUCUACUUAUCGCUGGGAAAAACAAACCAGUAAUCCACACCGAAGGACAGCGGGACACAUUGAAUCGUUUGAAAUGUUUGGGCAUGUCUUAUUAUCCAACGGCGAUUGAAAUUCUAUUCUGCAAUAUUUAAUAUUUUAUUUAAAACAGAUUUCCCCAUCAGCUGGUCCAGUUUUAUCACUCUUAAACGGCCGACCUAAUUUUUUAACUUUGUGGUGUUGCAACAACCUGCGGCAAAGGUGAAUUAUUCUGCGUUGGUGAUGUUAUUCAGGUCCCAGAGUUGGGCAACCGAUUUAGACUCCGUUAAAUGCCUUCGCUAUUUUCUUACUAAUCACUAGUUGCCAGGCCUGAUCUGCCACAGACGAUUCCCCACCCGUCGGGAGUUUGGAGAGAAAAAGAACUUAUUUUUCCCUGCAAAUCAAAUGCCAGCGUUGUAGCGAUACAACAGUGUUCUUACUCCCACUCUCUGCGAGCAGAGCAAACCUCAACGCUCCCUCAAGUGCUUUGUAGGACCUCUAUAUACUGCUAAUAUUGGGUAUAUUCCCCCAAACCAGGCGUCCUCAGACGAGGCUGGAUUGUAAGAGGGCGAGCACUUUAAUUUCAGAGACCGGCUUCUGGGACUGUUAUCUCCACAACCCCAUCGACCCCUUUUACUGUUGAUCAAGUAGAGGAUAAGAGAGAGAUCAAGCAGAUUGGUCUCUUAUAAUAGGAAUACCAAUGACAUUUAGAUAAAGCCCAACAGUACUGAUACAAGUUAUUUCUAAGCAGCUUGAGCGACACCACACAAUGAUGGAGGUGUCCAACCAUCCUGUAACCUCCUGUCCUGUUUGAUGGAGUAAUAGCAUUGUAAUAAUCCCACUGCGUAAAGCCACAGCUAAUUUACUUUACUAACUAGUUACAAAGGAAGUUUAACCCCCAAAGCUUUGAAUAAAGUGGGACAAUGAGGUGAUGGGGUUUGAUGGCAAUAGAUGACGAAUAUUCUCAGACUCUCAGAGAUGCAACCUAUAUUUGUAUAAAAAAAUAAUUUGGGGUUAUUAUGGCACCUUUCUGGUCAAAUAACUUCUCGAAAGAGCGCUCCCUCCGCAAGAUGGAAUUGAUCAGAAAUCCAAAAUGGUUGUUUAUUUGGGAAUAGAACGAAGAGGAGGGAAGAUUUUGUGUUGAAAACUCCCACAGCUGUGCUUGACCCGCCCCGAGCUCCAGCGUAGUUUGGUAGCUCUGAGCGUUUCUCUUUGACCAUGUGGUAACCACACGGAGUUGUUCUUUGACCUGAGUUAACCGCAGACUGUGUAAAAACUGCCUCGUAAUCCAGGAAGUAAACACGGUUUGUUUUAUUCAGCCAAUUACGCCCCAUCGCUGUGCAAAACUGCCCCUCAAAAGCUUGCCCUGAAACCAAGAGAUAAGCGAGACCUCACCCAGAACUCAGUCCUAACCCUGAGGGACGUAGAGUGUAAAUAAAGUGUAAAUGACACACAAACAGCCCUGAUAAGCACUGAUGGCAAACGAGGCAGUAUUAAUCGUGGCAGUAUCGAACGUCACCGCACUUUUAAGUGUCUUUCGGGAUUGACGAGAGAUUAGGGUUUCAUCCACUGCAGCGCAGUAAUUGAGGAAUGUGUAUUUUUAUUUAUUUUUGAUUUUAUUUGAGUUUUUACGCAACGUAUUGGAAGGCCGGGAUAUGAGAGACGUUUGCCUUGAAUUUCUCUGCCCACGCGAUGGGCCGAAUGGCCUCCUUCUGUGCUCUACGGUUCUAUGUGUAUCAA
Callorhinchus milii (elephant shark) is the source of this 2637-nucleotide RNA transcript. RefSeq lists it as uncharacterized. The record is from RefSeq and is a predicted model, not a curated record. The transcript has 4 exons. NCBI's taxonomy places the organism in Eukaryota, Metazoa, Chordata, Chondrichthyes, Chimaeriformes, Callorhinchidae.